CGCGAUCGACGAUUACCUUGCUUCGGCCGUCGAUUUCGUCCUCGACGAGCGUUACCUCUACGAGGUUACUCAAUCGGGACGGCCCGCGACGACGCUGACGUUGAUCGUGAAAAUGGCGGUCGACGGCACGCUCUGCUUCGAGGCCGACGACGGCGGGCGACUCUACUUCGGUAAGCACGAACGUUGCUGGUUCGCGUAUCGCGUCGAAGGACGCAAUGCGGCACUGGCCGCGAUCUACCGAGCGAUGCCGAUGUUGCCGCUCGCGCCGUCGCGGCCGCUGCAGUGGAACGACCGGCUGCCGGUCGCCGUGCUCGCUUCGGGCCGGCGACGUUGGAUAGCCCAAUUACUGGCGGCCGUCGCGCCGAGUUCGGCCCAAGCCGAAGUCGGCGGUCGGUUCCUCGAUCGCCGCACGGCGAUCACGACCGUGCGGCAUCGGCCGCUCGGCGAGGCGGCCGCCUCCCGCGUCACGUUCGACGACCGCAAGGGGUUUGCGGCGAUCGAGUGCGGCGACUUUCAUCUUCGGAGAAUCGAUCAUGAUUCGUUGGCUUGAAGCGUUGGCGGCCGUCGUCGUGGUCGGAACCGCCGCGGCGGGAACGAAAAGUGCGAAUCCCUCGACGGCCGAGAUUUUCUCGCAAUCGAUCACGGCCGAGCAAUCGCAGAACUACGCCGAAGCGAUCCGCGUGUUGUUGCCGGUCUAUCAAACGUCGAAGCGGGAAUACUUUGUGAACGUCCGCCUCGGCUGGCUCUAUUACCUCAACGGGGCCUAUGCUAACUCGCAGCAACAUUAUCAACUGGCCGUGUUCGCGGCCCCGAAGGCGAUUGAGCCGCGCCUCGGCGCUUUGUUGCCCCUGCUGGCCCAGGCGCGUUACGCCGAUGCCGAAGUGACGGCCCGCGAGGCGUUGCGGAUCGAUGCGAACAACUACUACGCCAAUCUCCGGCUGGCGUAUGCCCUGCGGAUGCAAU
This 963-nucleotide unclassified non-coding RNA is filed under the name uncultured fungus. RNAcentral describes it as "sequence contains 18S rRNA gene, ITS1, 5.8S rRNA gene, ITS2, 28S rRNA gene". The record is from RNAcentral. Lineage: Eukaryota; Fungi.